This 375-nucleotide long non-coding RNA is filed under the name Homo sapiens (human). RNAcentral's name for it is "non-protein coding lnc-TRIM29-9:6". Lineage: Eukaryota; Metazoa; Chordata; Mammalia; Primates; Hominidae. The record is from RNAcentral.
GAGGAGCUUUCCACUCCUCUGAGAGUCAUGUCGAGAGUCUGUCUUAGCCCUCGACCCCUCAGUCUUUGUAGAUCUCAUCCCAGAACCCCGAGGGAGAGGUAAUUGCUGAAGGAUUUUUGCUUCAAACAGGCUCUUGUUUGCAUCAAGUGUGGGGUGCAGCAAAGUGGACUCGGGACUGGCCGAUGUCUGGCCAGAAAUGCCAGGCAAGGGAAACAGUGACUCUAGUGGGGUCAGGAGAGGGGCAUCUGCUGGCCCAGGAGCGCAAGGCAGAGGGGUGAGUCUUUCUCAGGUCGGUAUCAGGUCCAUUCAUUUGCUUUGAUGUAAGCCUUCUUGGGCAGGAACCAUCUUCCCCUUCUCUAAUCAUCGAGGAAAGGG